Molecule: ribosomal RNA, 253 nt
Filed under: uncultured bacterium
Lineage: Bacteria
Description: partial 16S ribosomal RNA
Rfam family: Bacterial small subunit ribosomal RNA
Source: RNAcentral
AACGUAGGAGGCAAGCGUUAUCCGGAAUUACUGGGCGUAAAGGGCGUCUAGGCGGAAGGGCAAGCGCGAUGUGAAAGCUCCUGGCUCAACUGGGAGAGUGCGUAGCGAACUGCUCAUCUAGAGGUCAGGCGAUGGGGGUGGAAUUCCAGGUGUAGCGGUGAAAUGCGUAGAUAUCUGGAGGAACACCGGUGGCGAAGGCGGGUCUCUGGGCCGAUACUGACGCUGAGGAGCGAAAGCGUGGGGAGCGAACAGG